CCUACGUGAGGCAGCAGUGGGGAAUAUUGGACAAUGGGCGAAAGCCUGAUCCAGCCAUGCCGCGUGUGUGAAGAAGGCCUUCGGGUUGUAAAGCACUUUCAGUGGGGAAGAAAGCCUUGGGGCUAAUACCCUCGAGGAAGGACAUCACCCACAGAAGAAGCACCGGCUAACUCCGUGCCAGCAGCCGCGGUAAUACGGAGGGUGCGAGCGUUAAUCGGAAUUACUGGGCGUACAGCGCGCGUAGGCGGUCUGAUAAGCCGGUUGUGAAAGCCCCGGGCUCAACCUGGGAACGGCAUCCGGAACUGUCAGGCUAGAGUGCAGGAGAGGAAGGUAGAAUUCCCGGUGUAGCGGUGAAAUGCGUAGAGAUCGGGAGGAAUACCAGUGGCGAAGGCGGCCUUCUGGACUGACACUGACGCUGAGGUGCGAAAGCGUGGGUAGCAAACAGGAUUAGAUACCCCGUAGUC
RNAcentral lists this ribosomal RNA (464 nucleotides) under Vreelandella stevensii. RNAcentral describes it as "partial 16S ribosomal RNA". It matches the Rfam family "Bacterial small subunit ribosomal RNA", at positions 338 to 795 of the family's 1533-position model. The record is from RNAcentral. Lineage: Bacteria; Pseudomonadati; Pseudomonadota; Gammaproteobacteria; Oceanospirillales; Halomonadaceae.